This 258-nucleotide ribosomal RNA is filed under the name uncultured bacterium. RNAcentral describes it as "partial 16S ribosomal RNA". It matches the Rfam family "Bacterial small subunit ribosomal RNA", at positions 96 to 354 of the family's 1533-position model. The record is from RNAcentral.
CGGCGGACGGGUGAGUAACGCGUGGGCAACCUGCCUUACACAGGGGGAUAACAGUUAGAAAUGACUGCUAAUACCGCAUAAGACCGCGGAACCGCAUGGUUCUGAGGUAAAAACUCCGGUGGUGUAAGAUGGGCCCGCGUCUGAUUAGGUAGUUGGUGAGGUAACGGCUCACCAAGCCGACGAUCAGUAGCCGACCUGAGAGGGCGACCGGCCACAUUGGGACUGAGACACGGCCCAGACUCCUACGGAAGGCAGCAG